UCUCCGUUGGUGAACCAACGCGGAGGUCAUUA
Molecule: ribosomal RNA, 32 nt
Filed under: Colletotrichum godetiae
Lineage: Eukaryota; Fungi; Ascomycota; Sordariomycetes; Glomerellales; Glomerellaceae
Description: 18S rRNA
Source: RNAcentral